RNAcentral lists this ribosomal RNA (622 nucleotides) under Salmonella enterica. Its description in RNAcentral is "partial 23S ribosomal RNA". It matches the Rfam family "Bacterial large subunit ribosomal RNA", at positions 2202 to 2823 of the family's 2925-position model. Lineage: Bacteria; Pseudomonadati; Pseudomonadota; Gammaproteobacteria; Enterobacterales; Enterobacteriaceae. The record is from RNAcentral. RNAcentral also lists the same sequence under 1 other name.
ACCCUUUAAUGUUUGAUGUUCUAACGUGGACCCGUGAUCCGGGUUGCGGACAGUGUCUGGUGGGUAGUUUGACUGGGGCGGUCUCCUCCUAAAGAGUAACGGAGGAGCACGAAGGUUGGCUAAUCCUGGUCGGACAUCAGGAGGUUAGUGCAAUGGCAUAAGCCAGCUUGACUGCGAGCGUGACGGCGCGAGCAGGUGCGAAAGCAGGUCAUAGUGAUCCGGUGGUUCUGAAUGGAAGGGCCAUCGCUCAACGGAUAAAAGGUACUCCGGGGAUAACAGGCUGAUACCGCCCAAGAGUUCAUAUCGACGGCGGUGUUUGGCACCUCGAUGUCGGCUCAUCACAUCCUGGGGCUGAAGUAGGUCCCAAGGGUAUGGCUGUUCGCCAUUUAAAGUGGUACGCGAGCUGGGUUUAGAACGUCGUGAGACAGUUCGGUCCCUAUCUGCCGUGGGCGCUGGAGAACUGAGGGGGGCUGCUCCUAGUACGAGAGGACCGGAGUGGACGCAUCACUGGUGUUCGGGUUGUCAUGCCAAUGGCACUGCCCGGUAGCUAAAUGCGGAAGAGAUAAGUGCUGAAAGCAUCUAAGCACGAAACUUGCCCCGAGAUGAGUUCUCCCUGAGACUU